RNAcentral lists this long non-coding RNA (392 nucleotides) under Homo sapiens (human). RNAcentral describes it as "HSALNT0243926". Lineage: Eukaryota; Metazoa; Chordata; Mammalia; Primates; Hominidae. The record is from RNAcentral.
UGUGGGGGGUGGAACACAAGUUUAGAAGUCACAAAAGCAGUAUUCUGGGCCCUACAUGGUGAGCUGUCACUGAGUGAUGCUGGCAUUGCAACUGCUUCUGUAAACAGAGAUGGGGUCUCACUUUGUUGCCCAGAUUGGUCUCUAACUAAGUGACUCAAGUGAUCCUCCUGCCUUGGCCUCCCAAAGUGCUGGGAUUAUAGGGGUGAGCAACCACACUGGCCUUCUAUGUCUUCAAUACAUCUGUAUCACUUGCUAAUCCUGCAAACCAUACCUAUCCUGUUUUUCUUUUCUUUCCUUUUUUUUUUUUUGAGACAGAGUCUCGCACUGUCACCCGAGCUGGAGUGCCAUGGCUCUAUCUUGGCUCACUGCAACCUCUGCUUCCUGUGUUCAAG